This is a long non-coding RNA of Bombina bombina (fire-bellied toad), 1035 nucleotides long. RefSeq lists it as uncharacterized. The record is from RefSeq and is a predicted model, not a curated record. NCBI's taxonomy places the organism in Eukaryota, Metazoa, Chordata, Amphibia, Anura, Bombinatoridae. The transcript is spliced from 2 exons.
UCCUAGGUGCUUUAUUACUUGUAUUACUGGAUUGCCUUAAUAUUGCUGAACUCUGCCUGUUUAACCCUUUAAUUGCUAGAUUGCCUUAUCAUUGCUGAACGCUGCCUGUCUGACUACUCAGCUUGUUUAACCCUUGAAUUGCUGGAUUGCCUUAAUAUUGCUGAACCCUGCCUGUCUGACUACUCUGCCUGGUUUACCCCUGAACUGCUAAACUGCUGGAUUAUCUUUUCUUGCUGACCUUUGCCUGUUCCUGACCACUCUAUUGGUUUAUCCCUGAACUGCUACUGUGCUGGAUUGCCUUUCUGUUGCCGUGAAGGACUACCCUGUCUAACGACAGAAUCCAUCUACACAUCAGUUUUUCAAUGUGUGAAAAAUGAAAGUUGACGACGUAUGCCACCAACCAGACUUGAAACAGACUGAAAACAUCCUUAAAUGAAAAGUGAAGUAUAGCCAACAACCACAAAUCAGAAAUGGACAGGACCCUUAAAAUCAAUGGCUCCAGGUUCUCACUAUGCUCGUUAUAUAGAACCAAGAUAAUUAUUUGUUAUGCACUGAAAAACACAGAGAACAAUAUUUCUAUGGAGCAAUCCAUCCUCUUAUGCCAUUGAAAUUAACAGACUUCCCUCUUUUACAUAGUUUAUUAUAAAUAAUUAGAUUGUAAGAAGCUAUCCUUACAAUACUUGGUUGACAUUACAGUGCAUAUAUUACUGUGUAGAGCUUCAAAUGUGACAAAUUACAACUUCUCUGUCUGUCUAUGUUUAUGAUACAACUAUACGAAUAAACAGUUUAUUAAAUUAGUGAAAAUGGCAAGCUUCUGUUUGCAGAGUAUACAUAUAAUUAUUUUCAAUUUGUUUUUAAAAUUCAAAGUCAUUCCACCCCAGAAAACAAAACCUUUUAGUGUAAAGGGCCAGAUAGUCAAUAUUUUAGGCUUUGCUGAGCAAGAGGCAAAAUCAAUUAAAUUAUGUAGCUACGUUUAUAAUAAUAAAAGAAUUUUCAACAAAUAUAUGAAAAAUAAAUGAGCCACUUGGAAAAUGA